Long non-coding RNA from Mastomys coucha (southern multimammate mouse), 1092 nucleotides. RefSeq lists it as uncharacterized. The transcript has 6 exons. The record is from RefSeq and is a predicted model, not a curated record. Lineage: Eukaryota; Metazoa; Chordata; Mammalia; Rodentia; Muridae.
UGUCCCAUACCCUCUGCAUUUGUCACCUAUGCCAUGGCCCGGAUAAAAGACGUGGACCCUGACCCAUAGUGCGCUCUCUCUUCCUCCCUUCUUCCCCUCACCCCUCUUCAGGGUCACCUCUGUCAAUAAGGACCUCUCCCAUGAGAACUGUGAUGGCUUGGAGUGUUCUGUCCAGGAAUUUGCCGCCUCGUCUAACAGCAUGGGUGUAGGAAGGCUGUCUCUGAAGAGCUGACCUUACCUCCGGAAGAUACUGGCAUUGGGUGGUCUAGCAGAAGCAGUGCUGGGCCCCUCACUCAGGUGGUGCAGAUAAGAGAGAGAGCCAGCAGGCUGACCAGUUAGUUCAGCUACUACCUAGGCCCAGAUUCAGGACUUUGAGUUGGCCUACCCCAAAAUAUUCAUUAUCCAUGAACUGCGGGGGUCAUGUGAAAAUGCUGGCCCUACUGAUUCAAAGCUGCAGAAUCUCCAAGACUGAGGGGAAACCAGAAGGAGUUUCUGCUAGUUUCUUGUGAAUUUGACAAUUCAAAGAACACCUUCUGAAGAUUGGCCUGUAGAAGACCUCAGUUCAGCUCCUAGCUUCCAUGUUGGAUGUCUCACAACUGCCCAUAAUUCCAGCUCUAUGUGGAUCCGAAGCCUCUGACUUCGGUGAGCACCUGUACUCACAUGCACAUACUCACAUACUGAUGUCCCAUAGAUAGAACUUUAUCAUAAAACCAACUUGGAUGGAGCAUCAUUCAAAAUUGGAAUUAAGAUACCUGUAUGGUGGCACAAUCUUGUAAUUCUAGUAUUUGAGAGCCUGAGGAAGAAGGGCUGUCAUGAGUUCUAGGCCAGAACUAAUGAUCUAUAUUCAUGACAUAUUCCAGCGUUUAUUUCAUAUGGAUGCAAUUCAAGUCAAGAUCCUGUAACUCUAUCUACUCCUUACCCAUCAGUGUGGGACGGGAUAUGAGCACCGAUACCAGCCUUCCUCUGUGUCAAAGUACUAAGCCAUACCCCAUUAACAAUUAUCUUUGAAAAUUCUCUACAUGUGGAUGAAGUGCUUAGAAACUUGAACACUGAUGCUUCUUUUAACAUUAAAAUUAAAUCAUUGCCCUUAUC